Vicia faba (fava bean) is the source of this 196-nucleotide non-coding RNA. NCBI's taxonomy places the organism in Eukaryota, Viridiplantae, Streptophyta, Magnoliopsida, Fabales, Fabaceae. The record is from the annotation of a GenBank genome assembly.
GACUACAUCAAGACGUGUAUCAGACAGGAAAGUAGCAAGAUUUGAAAGAAAACUCAUGAAGAAAGGAUCUGAAAAGAAGGGAUGGGGAUUGAACCAUAUUGGUCCAAUUCUGAUUGGUUUCUUAGUCUUUCUUCUUUUUGGAUUAUGCUUGUUCAUCAUUAAGAGGACAGCUUAUGCAAGUGGUGGAACGGCCUAA